RNAcentral lists this ribosomal RNA (253 nucleotides) under uncultured bacterium. RNAcentral's name for it is "partial 16S ribosomal RNA". It matches the Rfam family "Bacterial small subunit ribosomal RNA", at positions 524 to 776 of the family's 1533-position model. The record is from RNAcentral.
UACGUAGGGGGCAAGCGUUGUCCGGAAUUAUUGGGCGUAAAGAGCUCGUAGGCGGACUGUCGCGUCGGCUGUGAAAACUCGGGGCUCAACUCCGAGCUUGCAGUCGAUACGGGCAGGCUAGAGUGCGGCAGGGGAGACUGGAAUUCCUGGUGUAGCGGUGAAAUGCGCAGAUAUCAGGAGGAACACCUGCGGCGAAGGCGGGUAGCUGGGCCGACACUGACGCUGAUGCGCGAAAGCCAGGGGAGCGAACGGG